ACGCUCGACACCUACGGGAAGCAGCAGUGGGGAAUAUUGCACAAUGGGGGAAACCCUGAUGCAGCGACGCCGCGUGAGCGAAGAAGUAUUUCGGUAUGUAAAGCUCUAUCAGCAGGGAAGAAACUGACGGUACCUGACUAAGAAGCACCGGCUAAAUACGUGCCAGUAGCCGCGGUAAUCUGAGCGGGCUGGCAAGGC
This 198-nucleotide ribosomal RNA is filed under the name uncultured bacterium. Its description in RNAcentral is "partial 16S ribosomal RNA". It matches the Rfam family "Bacterial small subunit ribosomal RNA", at positions 326 to 539 of the family's 1533-position model. The record is from RNAcentral.